CUUGGCUGUCGACGCUGGCGCUCAGGAGUCCCCAAAAAAACCCAUGCCAUUUUCACGCCGUCCCAGCAUGCAUCGCGUGAGCGCCGCCGUUUGCAUCACCGGCGAAACGAGCCUCUCGGCGCUUCCCUCCAGGGCGACCGAAUGACCUUACCGCCGCAACCGCUUUGACCCACUUCCUGGUUGGCCUGAGGAAGGUAUUCCUCGAAAAGCCAGUUGAGGAUCUAGUGCGCAUAAAUGUGAUUCGCUGCGUGCGGCUUGUUUCAGGGGAAUGGAUCCCGGAUAAUCUUUAGUCUUUCUGUUGAGUUAUCUGUAAGAAAAAAAAAGAAAAAAAAAGCUAGUUAGCACUUGUCUCUGGAGGUAAUGAGCACAUCAGUGCCACACUCACACAGUGUGCUGUUUGAACAAUGAACAGCAGGUGUGCAAUGAUGUGGUCUUGAUAACCUGCAGUAACCCGCGAACACCAGUAGAGGGAGGCAGUCUGCAAAUGACCAUGGCCAGGACCCUGGAGCCGAACUCUGCGCUGCACCCUAUUUCUUACGGUCUCUGGUUGCACCACGGUAACUCAGUCUGCUAUAAUGGAGCUGUUGCGUUUUGGGUUUAAAGCGUAGGUUUGUAAUGAUGUACCCAUCUCUUAUACUUCAGACUAUUCAUUUACUGGCUUUCGUUUUCUGGUGACGGUGAAGCCGUGUGUAAAUCUGAGGGCUGUGUUCUGUUCUGUGACCCCUCAGCAGACUGUGGCCUCUUAUUCCUCUUGUGCAGAUGCGCUGCUGGCAGAAAGCAACCCUCAAGUCACGCCAUUCCAAGUUCUUUAUUUGUGAAGAAGCAAGUCCCAAAUGAAAGCCAUCCCAGGCCACGGUCCAAUCACACACCAGCUGGUCACGUUCGUGCAACUGGAUAAACAGAGCCCCCUACUGCGUUGCGUACGCCGCUCCGUGCUGUUUCAUCAAUAACCCGUUUCUGAACCCAUCUUCAGAUUCCAUUUUCGGAUACCGUCGAGUCUCUUAAAAGCCAUUUACAUGCGCAGGCUUGGAAGAGGCAAACCACCAUGACACUCCAUAAUCUCCAUGGAGGUGGCUGAUAAGCCUCUAGCUCUUGGUUAUCAGCUUUCGAGAGAAGUUUCCCUUCAGCAGAACAGGACUGGCCAGAUUCAGGGAGGGGAACUGCAGACCCAAGACCCAGCUGACAGUUGGAUGAUUCAUUAAUGCAAGGCAGGCCUUGGAAGGUAGGCAGCUUUCAAAUCGAAAAACCUGAACAGAGUCUACAUGUACAUGUCAUUACUGUAGACUCAGCCUUCUUCACAGUGCUAGAAUUUUUUUUAAAUGCCCCAUGCCUAAUGAGUUAAAUCACAAAUAAAAUCCCAAAACUUUCUUACGCAGGACCCUUUGUUUAGUAACUUAUCCCAAAGUCGUUGUCGUGUUACAGAUCUAAUGCUUUGUAAACAUUCUUUUGAAAGAGCCACACAAUGAACCAUGUGAAAAACAGCAGUGAACUUGAAAGACAAGCUCGGGCGCAAUGGGCCCAUGUAAAACCUGUCAGAUUUGUCAAACGAUGCGUACGCGAGUGGGUAACGUUGUUUUCGUUUCAUUAUAGCGCUCCCAUGGAAACCUGGUCCCCUUGGAAACCAGGCGGAUUUGCUCGGAUUUACACCCGGCAGUUAGGGUUAGGGUUCGGGUCCUAUUGGGCCCAGGAGGCCUAUUUUCAGUUUUUCUCAAUGGAUUGUGCCGUUCGCUUCCGUUUAAUGUUUACCUAUGUUGUAUCAGUGACAACGACAACAAGAAUCUUAUAAUAAGGACGUCAUGUAGGCAUGAUUGCAUGUGCUAGUUAUGGAUUCAUAACUCUCAGGUUCUCUUUGUGUGUGUGUGUGCGUGUGUGAGGUCUCUGGUGCUGUGUAUGUACAAUGCCUUCAUACCCAUAAAUAAUUUUAAUAUUUUCGCUAAUCUAUAGCGAUGUCUGGUCAAAGUGUUGACUUAGCAAAAUAUACAGCUACUGCAGAAUGUUAUUUCCGAGC
Anguilla anguilla (European eel) is the source of this 2008-nucleotide long non-coding RNA. RefSeq lists it as uncharacterized. The record is from RefSeq and is a predicted model, not a curated record. Lineage: Eukaryota; Metazoa; Chordata; Actinopteri; Anguilliformes; Anguillidae. The transcript has 3 exons.